GAUGAACGCUGGCGGCGUGCCUAAUACAUCCAAGUCGAGCGAACAGACGAGGAGCUUGCUCCUUCGACGUUAGCGGCGGACGGGUGAGCAACACGUAGGUAACCUACCUAUAAGACUGGGAUAACUUCGGGAAACCGGAGCUAAUACCGGAUAAUAUUUCGAACCGCAUGGUUCGAUAGUGAAAGAUGGCUUUGCUAUCACUUAUAGAUGGACCUGCGCGGUAUUAGCUAGUUGGUAAGGUAACGGCUUACCAAGGCAACGAUACGUAGCCGACCUGAGAGGGUGAUCGCCCACACUGGAACUGAGACACGUUCCAGACUCCUACGGGAGGCAGCAGUAGGGAAUCUUCCGCAAUGGGCGAAGGCCUGACGGAGCAACGCCGCGUGAGUGAUGAAGGUCUUCGGAUCGUAAAACUCUGUUAUUAGGGAAGAACAAACGUGUAAGUAACUGUGCACGUCUUGACGGUACCUAAUCAGAAAGCCACGGCUAACUACGUG
RNAcentral lists this ribosomal RNA (497 nucleotides) under uncultured bacterium. Its description in RNAcentral is "partial 16S ribosomal RNA". It matches the Rfam family "Bacterial small subunit ribosomal RNA", at positions 28 to 507 of the family's 1533-position model. The record is from RNAcentral.